UUGCUGGGGGGAUUAGUGGCGAACGGGUGAGUAACACGUGAGUAACCUGCCCUUGACUCUGGGAUAAGCCUGGGAAACUGGGUCUAAUACCGGAUAUGACCAUUCCACGCAUGUGGUGGUGGUGGAAAGCUUUUGCGGUUUUGGAUGGACUCGCGGCCUAUCAGCUUGUUGGUGGGGUAAUGGCCUACCAAGGCGACGACGGGUAGCCGGCCUGAGAGGGUGACCGGCCACACUGGGACUGAGACACGGCCCAGACUCCUACGGGAGGCAGCAGUGGGGAAUAUUGCACAAUGGGCGGAAGCCUGAUGCAGCGACGCCGCGUGAGGGAUGACGGCCUUCGGGUUGUAAACCUCUUUCAGUAGGGAAGAAGCGUAAGUGACGGUACCUGCAGAAGAAGCGCCGGCUAACUACGUGCCAGCAGCCGCGGUAAUACGUAGGGCGCAAGCGUUAUCCGGAAUUAUUGGGCGUAAAGAGCUCGUAGGCGGUUUGUCGCGUCUGCUGUGAAAGACCGGGGCUCAACUCCGGUUCUGCAGUGGGUACGGGCAGACUAGAGUGCAGUAGGGGAGACUGGAAUUCCUGGUGUAGCGGUGAAAUGCGCAGAUAUCAGGAGGAACACCGAUGGCGAAGGCAGGUCUCUGGGCUGUAACUGACGCUGAGGAGCGAAAGCAUGGGGAGCGAACAGGAUUAGAUACCCUGGUAGUCCAUGCCGUAAACGUUGGGCACUAGGUGUGGGGGACAUUCCACGUUUUCCGCGCCGUAGCUAACGCAUUAAGUGCCCCGCCUGGGGAGUACGGCCGCAAGGCUAAAACUCAAAGGAAUUGACGGGGGCCCGCACAAGCGGCGGAGCAUGCGGAUUAAUUCGAUGCAACGCGAAGAACCUUACCAAGGCUUGACAUGGACUGGAAAGAUCUGGAGACAGGUCCCCCGCUUGCGGUCGGUUCACAGGUGGGUGCAUGGGUUGUCGUCAGCUCGUGGCCUGGAGAUGUUGGGGUUAAGUCCCCGCAACCGAGC
Molecule: ribosomal RNA, 1011 nt
Filed under: Arthrobacter sp.
Lineage: Bacteria; Bacillati; Actinomycetota; Actinomycetes; Micrococcales; Micrococcaceae
Description: bacterial SSU rRNA
Rfam family: Bacterial small subunit ribosomal RNA
Source: RNAcentral